GGGCCCGCACAAGCAGUGGAGUAUGUGGUUUAAUUCGAAGCAACGCGAAGAACCUUACCAGGGCUUGACAUAUACAGGAAUAUGUAAGAGAUUACAUAGCUCUUCGGAGUCUGUAUACAGGUGGUGCAUGGUUGUCGUCAGCUCGUGUCGUGAGAUGUUGGGUUAAGUCCCGCAACGAGCGCAACCCCUGUUUCUAGUUGCCAGCACGUAAUGGUGGGAACUCUAGAGAGACUGCCGGUGAUAAAUCGGAGGAAGGUGGGGACGACGUCAAAUCAUCAUGCCCUUUAUGUCCUGGGCUACACACGUACUACAAUGGCUACAACAGAGGGAAGCAAGACAGUGAUGUUAAGCAAAACCCAAAAGUAGUCUCAGUUCGGAUUGAAGGCUGAAAUUCGCCUUCAUGAAGCCGGAAUUGCUAGUAAUGGCAGGUCAGCAUACUG
RNAcentral lists this ribosomal RNA (440 nucleotides) under uncultured Bacillota bacterium. RNAcentral describes it as "bacterial SSU rRNA". It matches the Rfam family "Bacterial small subunit ribosomal RNA", at positions 917 to 1359 of the family's 1533-position model. The record is from RNAcentral. Lineage: Bacteria; Bacillati; Bacillota.